GCGUAGAGGUGCCAGGGCCGAGAGCUGAAAUGAGGCCACAUUAGGUUUUUUCCCAGGGUUGGAAGGUCAAAGAGGGAAGGGAGUUCAGGACUGGGCAGGGGGCGGGCGUAGACAUGACAAGCCAUGAAAUGCUGUGGACAGGAGCAAGCGUCUGUGGCUCUGGGACAAGGCAGCACUGGAAAUCUUUGUAAAAUCCUCUCUUUGCAGAGUGAUACCCAGAAGUGGGGUUAUGGGUCAAAGAGCAUGUGCUUUCAACAUUUGGAUGGGUCCUGCCUCAAAAAAGAAGAAGAAGAAGGAGAAGGAGAAGGAGAAGGAGAAGGAGAAGGAGAAGGAGAAGGAGAAGGAGAAGGAGAAGGAGAAGGAGAAGAAGAAGACUCCAGCUUACAUUCUCAUCAAAAGGGCACAAGACCCGCGUUGCCCCAUCUCCCGCAGUGUGGAACGUUUGCCAACCUGAUGGGCCAAUACGCCGUCACCUUGUUCCAGCGGGAGAGCAUGAGUUUUGCAUGUUUACUGGACACUUGCAUUUCUUGGCCUGUGAAAUCUGUUGCUGUUCUUUGCCCCUUUUCCUGUUCUUGACCGUUUCUUGCUCAUUCUUGGAGGGCCUCACAUCUUUGCUUGCCUUCCGCACACUCCCUUCUCUCCUUCCCCGUUUUGUUUUUCCCAUGGCUGCCAUCUGACAUGCUACAUGUUUAUUUCCUUAUUGCCUGUCCCUCCUGCCCCAUGAGAAUGAAUUAAGAGUGAAUAAGAGCCAGGAGGGCAGGGACUUUCGUCAUUUGUUCAUUUUAUUGUUCCCAGCACCUAGGACAGUGCCUAGUACUCAGUUGGCAACCGUUAAUUAAUUGUUCUAUGAAUGAAUGAAUGAAUGAAUGAACUAAUGAGUCAGUAAUAACCUUUUAUCUGUUAUUUGUUUUUCAAAUAUUUUCCCCAUAGCUCUCACUUGCCCUUUAUUUUGUUUAUGUGAGUUUGAUCAUACCGAAAAUUUUAAUUUAUGUGAGGUCAAACCUGUUAGUUCUUUCACACAUGAGUUUUAUGUUCUGCACUUUGCUUAAUAUACAGAGGAUGCCAAAAAAAUGUAUACACAUUUUAAGAAAGGAAAAAACUACUAAAAUUGUAAUACUCAAUAUAUACCAAUAACAAAAGAUGAACACAAGUCACGUUUGACUUCUGCAA
Rhinolophus ferrumequinum (greater horseshoe bat) is the source of this 1170-nucleotide RNA transcript. It is a transcript of the gene named DDT domain-containing protein DDB_G0282237-like, with no coding region annotated. The transcript has 2 exons. The record is from RefSeq and is a predicted model, not a curated record. NCBI's taxonomy places the organism in Eukaryota, Metazoa, Chordata, Mammalia, Chiroptera, Rhinolophidae.